RNAcentral lists this ribosomal RNA (497 nucleotides) under uncultured bacterium. RNAcentral describes it as "partial 16S ribosomal RNA". It matches the Rfam family "Bacterial small subunit ribosomal RNA", at positions 28 to 507 of the family's 1533-position model. The record is from RNAcentral.
GAUGAACGCUGGCGGCGUGCCUAAUACAUGCAAGUCGAGCGAACAGACGAGGAGCUUGCUCCUCUGACGUUAGCGGCGGACGGGUGAGUAACACGUGGAUAACCUACCUAUAAGACUGGGAUAACUUCGGGAAACCGGAGCUAAUACCGGAUAAUAUAUUGAACCGCAUGGUUCAAUAGUGAAAGACGGUUUUGCUGUCACUUAUAGAUGGUUCCGCGCUGCAUUAGCUAGUUGGUAAGGUAACGGCUUACCAAGGCAACGAUGCGUAGCCGACCUGAGAGGGUGAUCGGCCACACUGGAACUGAGACACGGUCCAGACUCCUACGGGAGGCAGCAGUAGGGAAUCUUCCGCAAUGGGCGAAAGCCUGACGGAGCAACGCCGCGUGAGUGAUGAAGGUCUUCGGAUCGUAAAACUCUGUUAUUAGGGAAGAACAAAUGUGUAAGUAACUGUGCACGUCUUGACGGUACCUAAUCAGAAAGCCACGGCUAACUACGUG